AUACGUAGGGGGCAAGCGUUAUCCGGAUUUACUGGGUGUAAAGGGAGCGUAGACGGCGAAGCAAGUCUGAAGUGAAAGGACGGGGCCCAACCCCGGAAAUGCUUUGGAAACUGUUUGGCUGGAGUGCGGGAGGGGUAAGCGGAAUUCCUAGUGUAGCGGUGAAAUGCGUAGAUAUUAGGAGGAACACCGGUGGCGAAGGCGGCUUACUGGACCGUAACUGACGUUGAGGCUCGAAGGCGUGGUGAGCAAACAGGAUUAGAUACCCUGGUAGUCCACGCGGUAAACGAUGAUCACUAGGUGUCCGUGGGUAUGACCCAUGGGUGCCGCAGCCAACGCAAUAAGUGAUCCACCUGGGGAGUACGUUCGCAAGAAUGAAACUCAAAGGAAUUGGCGGGG
RNAcentral lists this ribosomal RNA (396 nucleotides) under uncultured bacterium. RNAcentral describes it as "partial 16S ribosomal RNA". It matches the Rfam family "Bacterial small subunit ribosomal RNA", at positions 523 to 918 of the family's 1533-position model. The record is from RNAcentral.